Molecule: long non-coding RNA, 220 nt
Filed under: Elaeis guineensis (African oil palm)
Lineage: Eukaryota; Viridiplantae; Streptophyta; Magnoliopsida; Arecales; Arecaceae
Description: long non-coding RNA (EGUI_LNC007388)
Source: RNAcentral
GUGUCUAGAAAAGUAGUUCAGAGACUACAUCUGAAGGAAGGUGGUUAUUUAAUUGGUUCCAUUCACUUAUCUGGCCAACUCAGUUGGUAUUUAAGAAAAGCAACUGGGGGACCUCCAUCAAUCUUAUACUUAUCUGAUCAGUUGAGUGGCUAGUCUUUUACUUAGAGUGCUCAAAGAUAACCUUGGUAGUUAGGAGCUAUCUAGAUCUAGGAUUACCCUC